GGACUUUUAUUUUGAAGAGAAGAAGAGGACUUUUCUGGUCGCUGUAUCUGUGUUCAGACAGAGAGCAUUGGCACUUUUAUUUUGAAGAGAAGAAGAGGACUUUUCUGGUCGCUGUAUCUGUGUUCAGACAGAGAGCAUUGGCACUUUUAUUUUGAAGAGAAGAAGAGGACUUUUCUGGUCGCUGUAUCUGUGUUCAGACAGAGAGCAUUGGCACUUUUAUUUUGAAGAGAAGAAGAGGACUUUUCUGAUCGCUGUAUCUGUGUUCAGACAGAACGCAUUGAGACUUUUAUUUUGAAGAGAAGAAGAGGACUUUUCUGAUCGCUGAAUCUGUGUUCGGAGAGAGCAUUGGGACUUUUAUUUUGAAGAGAAGAGGACUUUUCAGGUCGCUGUAUCUGUGUUCAGACAGUGUUCGCCUCGUGGGUUAGUCAACCUUCCUGUGUUUAAUCGGGACGGCUCGUGCAGUGGCAACAUUAGUCUUUUAGUGCGGGAGGAAUCAGAUGACAAUCAAGUCUCAGGACCUUUAAGCAUCAGCAGGCGUUAGUUCAAGUGUUAUUGUGUGGUAGUUUAACUAAUAGGGUUGUGUAUGUGUAACUUAUUACACUGUGUUUUAUCUGCAUUGAACUGAUAAUGUGGCCUGUGCCGCAUGUAACUGUGUGUUUCAAUGUUCAUUUAUUAUUAAAAAUGGAUCUUUGUCAAGAAAAAUAAACAAAAUAUUUGGAAGA
This is a long non-coding RNA of Hemibagrus wyckioides, 722 nucleotides long. RefSeq lists it as uncharacterized. The record is from RefSeq and is a predicted model, not a curated record. Lineage: Eukaryota; Metazoa; Chordata; Actinopteri; Siluriformes; Bagridae. The transcript has 2 exons.